This 92-nucleotide transfer RNA is filed under the name Endomicrobium sp. RNAcentral describes it as "tRNA-Ser". It matches the Rfam family "tRNA". Rfam says of the family: Transfer RNA (tRNA) molecules are approximately 80 nucleotides in length. Their secondary structure includes four short double-helical elements and three loops (D, anti-codon, and T loops). Lineage: Bacteria; Pseudomonadati; Elusimicrobiota; Endomicrobiia; Endomicrobiales; Endomicrobiaceae. The record is from RNAcentral.
GGAGAGGUGGCUGAGAGGUUUUAAAGCAUCAGUUUCGAAAACUGAUACAUGUAUUAAUGUAUGUGUCGAGGGUUCAAAUCCCUCUCUCUCCA